Molecule: long non-coding RNA, 11488 nt
Organism: Lutra lutra (Eurasian river otter)
Lineage: Eukaryota; Metazoa; Chordata; Mammalia; Carnivora; Mustelidae
Exons: 3
Source: RefSeq, a predicted model, not a curated record
UGUGGGGCUCGAACCCAGGACCUGGGAUCAUGACCUGAGCCGAAGGCAGCAGCUCAACCCACUGAGCCACCCAGGCGCCCCAGCAUACAAGUUUAUUAAAAAUCUUUUGCUGCCUGCCAGAUACUGUGCUAUAUACCAGAAACACAAAAGUGACCACGUGACAACCACUGUUUCUAUUCACCUUGCAUUAUGAGGAUAGAGACAGCAUAGUCUAUGGACAGUGCCAACAGCAGGGCCCCCUUCCUGUCCUCCAGCUAAGGGAAUAACACUGCCUAGCACAGGGCCUGACAUACAGUCAAGUACUAAAUAAAUAAUUAUUGGCCAAAAUGGGCUCAAUGAAAAGAAUGAAUAAAUGUUAAGGUAGAGUAAGUACAGAGUGCUGUGGAAAAUACAUCAAAGGAGAAACUAGACUAGUUCGAGGGGAUGGACUGUAGAAAUUGUUAGUUACACUGAGAAUGAGUCAAAGAACAUAAUGUUGCAGAGGAAAGUCCACGCUGGCGGUGUUCGACCUGGUUCAAGUCCUAGCAGUGCCGUCAAGAGCUGGGCCAUUCCAGCUAUGUCAUAUCUUACUCCCUCCCUCUGUAAAACACUGGUGAUGGCUUUGGGAGACUAAAUGAGAUAUUAUUUAUCUGUAAGCCUCUGUCACAAAGAAGAACAUCAAUACAGCUAUUGGAGGAGUAACGGAGACCAGAACUGCAGUGUUCAAGCAAUGAGUCCCUAAGUCGUGAGGUUAAGAGCACAAACGUUUGAGGGAUGGAUGGCAAUGACGAGCUUCAAGUUCACGGUGGCCGCUAGGGGAGGUGUUACAGAACUUCUCAGCUUCUAAGCCCAGACAAUGCAGGGGAAGGGCAGGUAGCUUAUGGGAUUUGUCUUCCUCUUCCAAUCCAUCCCAGAAGGCUUUCAUAUUCACAUUUUAACUAUAGACCCAUGUGGGCCCUGCCUUUUGCUGUUCACAGUGGGGUAUAAACCAUUUCAGAUAAUUAAUAAUCUGAGGAUAUUGUGAUGUAUGGAAACUCGAUGCAGAUUAUAUAUGUGUUAGUGUUUAUAUACAUAUGCAUAGAAAUACAUGAUAAAAAUAUAACCUUUUCCCCCAUAAGUUCUUAUAAAAAUUAGCUUCUGUUGCUUUUAUCUUAAAUCUCCACGAAUAUUCCCGACCCCUUCCUUCAGUUCUUCCUUCCCCGCAUGUCCAUUAGGAACUUUCCCACUACGUUCGUGUAGUUAGAUCAGUACACACACACACACACACACACACACACACACUCGCGCGCGCGCAUGCAUAUAUCCACACACCUGUUCUCUACUGGCUUCAGCUUUUUUUUUUAGGUGAGCUUUGGGAAAUGCCCUGAGUUGAACUGGAUUGUCAGCUCUGUUAAUAGGGGAGCGUUAGAGAGAGGAAGAUGUGAGCCACUGACUUUUGGGUUUUCAGUCCCUAACACGAGCUGCAAUUCUAAUGACAUGGCAAAACCAAAAAAUGUCAAACCAGAGAGUGCAGGAGACCAAAGAAAGGGGAUGGCGGGGGCCAAAGAUGAAGGAAGGUACUGGGUAUAAAAACAUUUUAGACGUAAAAAUUGGGGGAGGGGAGAACGAGAGGUGUUUCCGAUGAUGGUGGGGGAGGGAAAGCAAUUGGUGGGGGCUUUGAAAUGGUGCCAGGAACCAAGAGCCAGGGGCAGUGGCAGAGGGGAAGGCCAGGUAGGACAAUUAAAACGGAAAUCUGGCUCCUUACAGCGCAGCAUGAAACAGGGCUACAGAAUUUGCUGCAGUGGGAGGUGGGGCCAGUCUGGCACAGUCUGUGGGUUUGAAAGGAGCUGGGCGGGUUGGGGAAUGCCAGUCAGCCUUUGUAGUUCUGAGCUCAGAGAGGGGGUGACGAAUACUGGGCUUCAGGUCAGAAGCCUGGCUUGGGUGGCUUUUGGAGAAAAUUUCCCUCUGCUCCCAAACUCUUAAAAUCUGCUCAUCACACCACUGGCCUCCAAUCACAGCAUAAACACGUGUCCUGGAGAUGGCCCUCCAGCAGAGGUUUCGGCCGUGGUACCUGUUGGCUGACUGAUGGGAUCCUUCUCCUCCCCUACUCCCUAGACAUCCUAACCGGGGCUGAAUACAAUAUUUUUGCAUAUUUCCCUUUACCCUUCCCACAUGCUUCCCAUCUCCCAGACUCCUAGGGUUAAUCCCCAGGACAACCUUGCUUUGAAAGAAAAAAUGUGGUGAGCCUCCUAGAAGAUUUGGAUCUCAGAAGCCUCUGUCUGUCCUGCUUCAGCCGGACACCAGACAGCGGCUCAAGGAGAUGGACAUUGACAGAGAAAGAAGCAGUAAGUUUCUGUUGUUGUUUGUUUUCGAGGCAUAGUUGCUCUCCAGAAUUAAGGCCCCUAAAGGCAUGAGGCUUUCUUUUCUUUAUUUUUCGCCUUUCCUCUUCGUUUCUUUUUCUUUUCUUUCUUUCUCAGCAGAAAUAAAUACUAUCCCGUUCCCAUCCUGGGGCUGAUUCAGAAAAGCAAUUGAAUUAGAAAGCUUUUCUUCAUUGAUGUUCGUAUCUGGGGUUAAAAAUAUCUGAAGUUGAUUUGUGCGUGCCUAUUCUCAACACUGUAAUAUUUUAAAAUGUAUCUGCAUUUGUUAAAGUAAUUUGUACUGAUUGUUCUUCUCCAGAAUAAAUACUAUCUAUCUGGCUGAUUGAUUGUAAUUAUGAUGAAUUUGUCCCAGCACUUGCAUGGAUGUCUUCUUUGAGGAUUUUUGUGCAUAUUUGCUGCUCAUCAAAGGAAAGGCUAGAAGGACUUUGGAAGGAGGGUGUGGUCGGGCUGAUUCAGCUUCCUUCCCGGCCCAUCCCUGACUCCUUCCCUCUGCUCCUCCCUCUCCCCAGCUCCUACCCUGGCUCCUCAGAUCCCUCCUGAGCCAGCUGUCGAUGAAAUGGCAUUUACCUUUCGUUUCUUGUAUCACCUGUGUUAGACUCGGGCAGGUAGGAGACCACUACCCACAAUCAAAUUCAUUACAUUUGUAAUCUCAGCAUUUUUUCAGACCAAGACGGACUGUUGCUGCCACUCCUUAAGCUUCUCUCAUCGUGGGAUUAUUAGCCAAGAUAGUAAUAACAGUAGUAAUACUGUAUUUAGAAACUCUCUAGCACAUUUGAUCUCUGAGAGUCGUACAGAUGUUAACUAAUUAAUCCGCGCAAGAGAGGUAAAUAUUAUUAACCAUGAUGGAAUAUACCUAUGUAUAUGCUAAGGACAGCAAAAUAGUUCACUUAUUUAUCACGGUUCACUUGCUAUAGUCACUGGUAUUUUUAAAACACCCAUCAUAGAUACAAUAAUUAGAGAUGUGCUUUUGUUAACAAAACCACUACCCACUUCUAGCGUACCCUUGGGUACUAAGUAAUUACCCACUUUGUGUGGUUAUCUAGCUCACUAAUUACCCACAGAAAUUGGGGUCAGGUGUUAACUGCUUGAAAUAAGUAUCCUCCAAAGACAUCGCUGAGUUGUAUAGAGAAAUGAUGUGUUCAGAGCAAAACUUUCAUAACUCAUAUAUUUGUAUAUCUUUGUAAGCGGAGCGAAUACCGACCGGGGCAGAUCUGCUCAGCACGUGAAAAUCAUGCUGAACUGUUGUGGCGAUGGUAGGGAGGUUUUGGAGAGUCUGGGGAAAUUUCAUCCUCUGUUUACCUUUCCUUUCUGAAGAUGAGUGUAAGGACAGGGGUCCCAUAAUCUGCCCUUUCAUAUGCAAGCACACUAAGACAAUUGGUGAGUCUGGUUAGGAAUGAUUCAUUUUGGCGGUACAGGGAGGCACCCAGUGAGUCAAAGAUUUUUUUUUUUUUGACAGCUCCACCCAUUAUGAGUAUACUAGCAUGUUUCUUUUUUUCUCAUCAGUCUAGUGCAAACACACUAUUAGCCAAAUCUGAAAAAGAUUCUAACCCAGUCCACAAGCCUGCCAACCAUCUCUUUCUCCUUCCCAAUAAUGACCAAAAAAAAAAAAAAAAAGAAGAAGAAAGAAAGAAAGAAAGUAAAAAGAAAAGUAUUAAAGGGAAUCCAACACUAUGCUUAUAAGUCUCUUUUUGCCUGGAUAUCUUCUCCCGUCCCCUCUCCUGCCUUCCUCUUCCCUCCCCUCCCGUCCCCUCCUCUCCUCUCUUCUCCUUUCCCUUCUUCCUCUCUCUGUGUCUCCUCAUUUGUGUUUUUCCUUCUCCUUUUCCUUGGCCUCCAGCUGUGCUUCUGCAGGUCUCAGAGUGAGAGACAAAGCACAGUGUCUGAACUGAGCACAAAGAAGCUACCUUUAAAAAACAUCGACUUAGAGGAAACCUGCAUCCUCAGAUGCCUCCCUCCCUUUCUUGCUAUUUACAGAACUCAGCCUUACACUUCACACAGGCCCGUUGUCUGCGUGAUUCUAGCCAGGAAAAUCGGGUGAAGAUGGCCAUAUACCCACUGUGUGUAUAGAUAGGUAGAGACCCCAAUUAUCAGGAGCUACCUGUUUUCCGGGAUCAUCGUGUAGCCGAGCUUUGAAAACACACGCCAACAGACAUGAUGGGAGAGGCUCCCCUGUUCAAGCCAGGAUGUCUUUCAUUUUUAUCUCGUGCCACUUUUUUUUGUCAUCGGAAUGAUUACUUAUCGUUAUCAAGGGGCUUUAGGCUGAUCAAUGGAGUGUGUAUGUAUCUGAUGGACAUUUGAAGAGAAACCCUUCAGAAAGAAGGAAAAUGUCUGCAGUGGAAGUAGAGGGUUAGUAUGAGCUACAGUGACUGAUGAGUUCAUUUCAAAAUCCACGGGCACGUAAGUGGUAAAUUAGUACGUACAGCAAACAGAGUCAGCAAGCAAAGCCUCCCGUUGAAAGGAAAGAGACUUCAAGCAUUGUAGUCAUCUCACGCCCGAAGAAAGUGCGUAUUUUAAAUAUAGAUUCGAAUCCCUGCUCUUUUAUCCCUCUACAUGCCGAUUUCAAAGAAGUAUUUGGGCACUGUUGACUUUCCGUCUGUGAAGAAAACCCACCAAGAUGCAGGAAACGUACACAUGCACUCCAACAUGCUUAGGUGUUUCAGAUGCUCGUGGGAUACGGAACAAUUAGGCAGAGAACUGCACUGUGGUCUCUCUUCGUCACUCCUUCCUCUCCUCCCCCCCCUUUUUUUCCCUCCCUUCUAGAAAGCGUGAUACCUGAUCUCUGGGUCUAGCAGGCUGAGGAUUUUUCUGUAUUUGUAUAAUACAAUGUCUGGCCUUCCCCCUGACCUGCUGGUGUAUUUUUGGUCUCAUUAGUAGUCAGAAAGAUGCUUUCGUGCAUCCAGGGCUGCAAGUCAGGGUGAGACAUACAACGGUGAGAGGGAGUGAGCGCGAGAGGAUAUUAGAAGGGAGGCUUGUCUCCAAGAUAUGGAAGGAAGUGGGAAAUGACAGGACGGCAAGCUUUGUAUGGAGGGGCCUGGCAGGGCGGGGGAGCGGCGGGGAGAGCCAAGUGGAUUCUCAGAAAAGGAGGGAAGCCGUGGAAGAGCGAAAGGUGAUUAGAGGGGGAUAUUGAUUCCUUAUUCUGCCAGAGAUUGAAGCAAGCAUGCGAGGAAUCUGCACCAUGGUUGGCAAAAGGAGACCCUGUAACCAGACACUCAGGCUUUCCAGGAGCCCAGGGAGAGAGCCGAGAAGAAAGGGGGCAGUGUGGUCUAGGAAAAUUCAACUUGUCGCUGAUUUGUGCCUGAUGCUUGCUGUCCGUCAGCAGCCUCCCUUACAAUCUUUUUUUCUCUCUCUCCCUUUUUUUCUUGCCUUCUCCUUCUUCACUGAAGCCUAGGGGAGCCAGCAAAGAUUAAAUGUGCUUUCUCAAAGGCAGCCACUUCAUGCUGCUAUGUCGAAAGGGCCAUUAUUAUUAUUAUUUUUAAUAGUAAAAGAAAACGGGAGAGAGAGACUGAGACAGAGAGAGAAGCAAGGUAGGCUGAUGACGGACUAGCUUUUCUGGGAGGAAAAGGAAAGUGAGGGAGAAAGGAGAAACCCUGAACUGAAUCGGACGAUCGUGCCUGAGAAGAACCUCCAGAGCAUAAACUACAGAGUCACAGUCUCUAGAUUUGGUGUAGGCUUCCUGCCCCCGCCUCCCCUCCCCGCCCCGUGGUCGGUCCUCUAUUGAAACACCUCGCCCAGGCUAGCGCACUGCGAGCUCGCAUUUCCCCCCCUUGCUCGGAAUGGUGUCACGGGAGGCUGCAGCCCCGCUCCGCUUCCGAAGGGUCAUUUACACACUAACAUCAACUUCCCUUUUGGUGUCUCGACAUGGUGUUCCAUUGGACUGAAGACCCCCUCCCCACCAAGGAGCUGGAAAAACCCAGGCAGUGAAACAGUGAGUUGAUUGGUCAGCCUGGUGCUUGGCACUUGCUAUAUGCCCAGUAGGUGAAGAGGCUCUUGAUGCAAAUUUGGAGAAUCAUUACCGUCAGAUCACAGAAGGACCCUGAGCCAGGCUACACAAGGGUCCCAAUUUAUGCUUAUACUUUGGGGAGACAGAAAGGAUUUCAAGGGAGGCUCAUGUUGAGAUGAUACAAGAUAUUACUCAUUCCAAUUAAGUAGGCAGAGGCCCCAAAGAAGCCUGAUUUGUUAAACAUUGAACUCACAAUAGACACCGAGAUACGGUGGUUCAUAUUUUUCUACUACUUAUCCUGCAAAAUAUAUUUUAAUGAUGGGGCCCAUGUUAAUAAAAGGGGCAUUUUGCAUGGGCUGUAUCUAUACACCCCCAAAGCAAUGCAUUGCUUUACCUUUCAUUUGCUCAUGUAUACAAGGACUUUCCAUUAUGACACUACCCACAGGGGUCACCACAAAAUUGUGCACAGCGUCCUUCCUGACUCCAAGAACAGUAUGAUUUAUUCACAAAUGAGUCUUACCCAUGUGUAUAAAGAGCUCCACGCCCCACCUUCCCAAUCCAUGUUCACAAAAUAUGGUUCUAAAAUCUGUAAGGUACAUUUUUAAUUUCUCACCCAGGAUCAAGUGUCGCACGCUCGAUCAGAACAGAAAAAUACCCGUUAACCAUAUGUAACACUGGGCUAUUGAUUAGGUUUUAGAAAACAAAUACACCUGCCAUCCAGAGACCCAUCUUCAAUAUAUUCCAAGUGUUUAGGGCAGAUCUGUGAUAUGGGGUAGUAUAUCCUUUUGGCUGUGCAUAACUCAUUAUGCUUCUUCAUUGUGCUGGCAUAAUGAAGAGGCUGACAAUAAAGGCUUUAGUUAAAUUAAAAUCCACCAGCAAAGUAUAUCUCAUUCAUAACAACUUCCGUAGAAUAAAAGAAACAUUAAUACAGCUCUCUCCAAAUAUCCUUUUCUGCACAAUGAGUGGGUUGGAUUAGUUGGUCUCUAAAUGUUUUUACAGCUUUAAGAAUUUUUGAAGCUACUCUCAAAUACAGAAAUAGAAGAACAACUCCAAGACCCUUGAAUCCAAAGUCCGUUUGUACCAACAGUUGUCUUUCAAGGUUAUAUUUGAUUCCACCUCCAGGUGCCUUAUUCACUAACGUAUUUUGCCUUGCUGCUAAAACAGUAAAGGAUGAAGUUCAUUUUCAGGAAGGGCAGUGACAAAAAAGAGGAACAGCUGAAGAAUGAAAAAAGCUACACAGUGGGAGAAGGAAAUUCUUGAUCUGACUUCUAAGCCCAUGUCCUUCAGCAUUAACGCAGAAGAAACCCAGACAAGCACCUGCCUUUCUAUUUUAAGACCAUAUUCUUUGGUCCUUCUGCCUUCAUUUAAUUUCUUACAGUGUGGUUUUGUUUUACCCCAUUGGGUUGACGCCUUUGAGUUCCACGUUUCCCUUUCCACUCGAUUCAUCUGAAUCAUGUUAAUAUUCCCUUCAAAACCCACAAUAGUCACAUUAACCCACCACGCUUCCCAAAUUAAAUCUUAACAUGCUCAAAACCUCCUGAAAAUUGCCCUGCCCUAUUUUCCAGAGCCACUCUGAACAUAUAAUCUCUCCUUGAACUAAGCAAGCCUGCUCUUCCUGGCUUCCAAGUCUCUGAAUGAGCUCGCCCCCUGCUUUCCUCCCUGCAUGCUCUGUCUCGGCCACGUGUGCAUUUCAGAAACCUUUCUCUUCUCUCUUGCUUUCUUUCCUUCCUUCCACCUGCAUUCUGUCUUCCUUCUUCCCUUCCUUCCUUCUUUCCUUAUUCCACUUCUCUCUUCCUCCCUCCCUUUUGUUCUUCCUUCCCUUCUUUCUUCCACGGAGCACAAUAGGUCAUGCUCUGAGCCAGGCACUAGACCUAUAAAGCCAGAUACAAGAAACUGACAUUAAUUCCCAACAAUUCCAGUGACUUCACUCGCCUCUGCAUUGCUAAGCCCUUCUGUCCCCACAAUCAUUUUAUUUUGCUUUUAGUCUUCGGAGUUCUUUGAAUUUGUCCUUAAUGUCCUGCGUUCUUUUGUCGUUCUUCCUCCAUGUCCUAUUUCAGUAAGUUGUCUGUUGGAUAAACCUGAAGCUUUUCUUACGGAGCGUUUCCUCCCCGAGGGAUUAGCGUGGGGCGCUUGCACACUCAAGCAGUGUUUUGGCUUGACUGCUCCUCCAGCGACGUGAACAGUGAGAGAGCGCUACAUUUGUGUGGUGAUGUCGCAUUUCGUGUGUACUUAGAAAUAACAUGGCCCCCCGAGGAUCUUCAUGUUUAGUUAUUUCUACCAAAGAGUCAAUGUGAUAACUUUUCUGUGACAUGUUCUGUUAUUUUUUUAGUUGUGUUGACGUUCCUUUCAGCUGGUCCUAUAGCCCCCCUUCUCAGGAAGGUCUCCCAAGUGAAAGGACGUAAAUGGCACUGGACACAGCUACACUGGGGGAUGCUCAAGCCAACUAUGAAGUUGAAACAAAGGAAAUGAUCAUCUGAAGACACCUCUCCUGCUAAGCAUCACCCCCAAAGGAUGCAAUUUCAGGCAUUAGAACUCCCAGAAUACGAGGCAAUCUUUUCAAGAAACGGAAAAAACUUCACAGUGACAUCUAGAUUUCUAAAGAGCCAAGGACUUUCCCUUCCUCGUGUGUAUUCCUCUGUUAGUAUUUUAAUUCAGUGGGACAUUCAUUUCUAAAAUAUCUCCCCGGCAUGGAUAUGCUUAUUAAUGCACCAAUUUUUAAAAUAGAAAAUUGCACAAAUGUGUUCAUGUUUUAAGGAACAAAAUUAAUGCUCUAAGUAGGUUGGUUUCUAGCCCACACACGGUUUGAUCUGAAGAGUGACUUAAAGGAAUAUAAAGUAUUUUUGAAAUAACAAGGUAGUCAGAGGCAACCCAAAGGCUAAAAUAAUGGUGGAAACUCAUAAGGCAACUGAAAAAUGCCACCAUAUCCCACCUGACACCGACCAAUUAACUAUUCUUUUAAUCAAGCAAGAUAGGUUCCAAAGACACGGUCAUUGCUUCUAAAGAGUGUAAAUCUAGUUCUACAGGGAUACAUAAACUUUUGAAAAGAUCGUAACAAAUCAGGUCUAUAGAUGUUAAGACCACAACAAAACAAAAGAUAUAAAGAGCAAGCUUGGAGGAAGUCACCGUUAUCUGGCAAAACUAGUCUGUUUAGGGAACAGAGUUCCCAAAGGAGGAAAAUAAAAGAUGAACCUUAAAGAAUGUUGAAGAUUUAGGCGCACCUGUCUGGCUCAGUUGGUAGAGCGUGUGACUCUUAAUCUUAGGAUUGUGAGUUUAAGCCCCACAUUGGGCAUGGAGCCUAUUUACAAAAAAAAAAAAAAAAAAAGGAAGAAGAAGAAGAAUAUUAAAGAUUCAGAUAAAUGGAAAAGAAAGAGAAAAUAGAGUCCUUUAAAUGAAUGCAAUAUUGUGAGCAAAGCCAUAGAAGAAGGAAUCUAGGUGGUGAGUUUAGGGAAUUAUGACUAUACAUGUCUAGUUGACUUUCAGUGCCAGUGUAAAUAUGCAUACAGUAAGGACUUCACACCACACCUCCUCUCUCUCACCCUGGGUGUCACCUAGAAUCAUCAUCAGAUUUAUUUACCAUUAAAGCAAGUUUGGUGGCAAUAUGAGAACUUACGAUUUUUCUGUUAACUCAAUAAUACUUGGUAUUUUUGGAGUUCUUACUGUAUGUUAAGCAUUUUACAUAUGAACUCACUUAAGCCUGCAACUCAGAACAACCCUGCAAAAUAGGUAUUAUUAUCCUUGUUUAAAAGAUAAGGUUUAAGGAGGUCAAGUAACUGGCCAAAGUGCCAUAUACAGCGUUCUCAUUCAGAACUGUGAUUGCAAAACUCAUGAUCUAAAGCACUAAGUCACAAUAUUGGGAUCAAUGUUGCAAUAUUACCACUUGAAUAUUCCUUGAUCGUUUUUUAUGGUAAACAAAUAGCUACAUUAUUCAGUUAUCCCGUCGGUUUUUUUCAGUUUUCUGCUCAAAUCAUGUUAGAAUGAUGGAAAGAAUUUUCAUGAUAGAAAAUUGAAAGAAUUGGAAAAUAGAGCUUAUUGGCAUUUUUGGCUUUUGUUUUGGCUUUUACUGUUUUUUGCCAGAUGUUAAGUAAAUUGUUCACUGUGUUCUGCAGAAAAUCUCAAAUUCUUGAGAAUUAAAAAGGGGGGGCACUUAAAGGUCAUCUGUUGUGAUGUGCUUUUCUACAGAUGACAAAUCAAAGUUAGAGUGACUUACAGAAGAUCACGCAUUUGCGUUUGACAGGGCUAUGUCCAGAAACCAGGCUGCCCAGUUUCCUCUCAGAGGCUCUUAAAGUAUGCCACCCUGCCUAAAUGAAGGAUGAACUUGAAUUUGAUCAAGGAAAGCAUUCUCUCUGGGUGAUAAGGGAGCACCGCACUUAGUAGAUUAUUUCAAUUUUGCAUCUCUUUGGCUUCCCACCUCAACGUGAAAAAAAGCCAGUUAUGAACUAGCAUCUUUUGAUGUAGCAACUGUCAAUGAUCCAUCCCCAGAGAACAUUAAUGGCUCAAGUUAUGUGUAUAAUGUCUUCAAUGAUAUCCUUAAGUUAUUUGGAAUUCUUAGCUCACCUAAACAAACCAGAUCUUCGAAUGAGCAUUUUCUUACCCAAUUUCAUGCACAGUAUGUAUUCCUAAGUGCUUCUGCAUGAAUAUUUAUACGUGAUUGUUUCAAUAGUCCUUAUGUUUUUGAAAAAUAUCAAUGGUUAUUUGCUAUUUUAAUCCUCACUUAUCCUUGUAACUAACUCAAGGAUACUUCAGCCCUAAAAAGCUAGAAUUGAGGAAAUAUCACUCUUCUCUACCAGCUCUUUUGCAUUUAGUUGGCAUUUAGUAAUGAUUAAUAAAGUGGUCAGCUGAAUAACACAGAGGUUCAGUGGGUACUUCCAUCUUGAAGGGGUCAGUUAAGCUGGGUCUACUUAAGGACAAACAUCUAGGUGUUUGGAAGUACCUGCAUAUUUGACUGUUGUAAAUUUCCACAUCAGAAUCUGGCAUUGUCUGACAUAGACCUUGUGGCUCGGGUUGUCCUGUUUUCAAAAUGAUGAUUAUUGGCCGCAUCUCGCACAGUUCUCAUUAAGUGAGUUCAUAAAUAAGCAGGUUUGUUUGUUUGUUUGUUUGUUUGUUUGUUUGUUUUAAAGAGUAGCCAAGCACAAAAUGUGACUUUGUUGACAUUUUAUGAGACUUUGUCAUAUGUCCCUUGAAUCCCCAAUAAAAACAAUGUUGUAUCAACUGUGAA